RNAcentral lists this long non-coding RNA (871 nucleotides) under Homo sapiens (human). RNAcentral describes it as "HSALNT0242811". Lineage: Eukaryota; Metazoa; Chordata; Mammalia; Primates; Hominidae. The record is from RNAcentral.
GUGCUGUGUGGAUGAAGAGGGUUUAUCAGUACAGGUGAGUGGUGAACGUGAAAAGAACAGCUGGAGCCCUGGUAAGGAGAUGGGGGAGAGGAAGCAGCCACAGGUGCUGUAACUUAGGAAGAGGGAGAAGAGUAGUAAUGGGGACACUCAUAAUCUGAUGGUGAAGGAAUAAGGGCAGGAGGAACAAAAUUAUGAGAUUAAGCCAAACCCCGAGACGUUCCUCUCCUCUCAUGUUCAGCAAGGCAUUGGGGGAUGUUCACUGACAGCUGCAGAUGUAAGCAUUAACAAGAGAAGAUAGGGAGGCUCUGUUUAUUCCCGGGUAAAAGGAACACUAAGCCAGACAGCACAUCGGAGAGAGAUGAUCAUGCAUCUCAAUGCCCAUGGGUUUCAAAUAGACUCGGUCUCUGUUUGCUGCUCAUUCUUUAGCAUGAGUCAGUAGAGUAGGGGAUCUGCUCACAACUAAAGAGAAUAUUAGAAGAGACAAUACCUAAGGGAUAUCAAUGAAGUACAGACCUUACCCAAGUCUCACAGUGAAAACAUAGGAGAGGAGUGUGAGAUAAGUGGAAGAGUUACAAGAGAUGGAUCAAAAGCAAAUGUGUACAAUCCCUUCCACGCAAGGGCUAAGCCAGGUAGAGAGAAUAUCUGCACAGACAGAUCACUGCUGGGGUGAGAUCUAGAUACAUGGAGCUGGGUUCACUGUCCUUGUUCCUUGUUUGGUGUCUUCUCAAAGCCACCAAGAUUUGGAAAGGCCACAGUCAGGACAAGUCCUGGUUUGCUAUUCCAGGAAGUAGAAGUCUAAGGGAAGAAGAGCAAACAAAGUCAAGAGAAUUCAGAUUUAAAGAUAUAGAGCAUCUAAGGGCUCUAGAUACUU